RNAcentral lists this small RNA (77 nucleotides) under Hyphomicrobium nitrativorans NL23. Its description in RNAcentral is "Hyphomicrobium sp. NL23 Makes More Granules Regulator RNA (mmgR)". It matches the Rfam family "Makes More Granules Regulator RNA (mmgR)". From Rfam's summary of the family: SuhB later renamed mmgR (makes more granules regulator) was a putative non-coding RNA found multiple times in the Agrobacterium tumefaciens genome and related alpha-proteobacteria. Other non-coding RNAs uncovered in the same analysis include: speF, ybhL, metA, and serC. Lineage: Bacteria; Pseudomonadati; Pseudomonadota; Alphaproteobacteria; Hyphomicrobiales; Hyphomicrobiaceae. The record is from Rfam by way of RNAcentral.
CACCGCAGCCCAUUACGGGCGUUUCCUCCCUGGACUUGGGCCGUUCGCUCGCACGAACGGCCUCUUUUUGACAGGGA